Diachasmimorpha longicaudata is the source of this 4111-nucleotide long non-coding RNA. RefSeq lists it as uncharacterized. The record is from RefSeq and is a predicted model, not a curated record. NCBI's taxonomy places the organism in Eukaryota, Metazoa, Arthropoda, Insecta, Hymenoptera, Braconidae. The transcript is spliced from 3 exons.
UUCAUUAACAGCGGUACAGUUAAUGCGACAACCGCCGUUACUCCAAAUAGCGUCUUCUUCACGCCUCGGAAGACCUCUAAAAUGCACUCUCUCUCCAUUUCCAUUUUCCGCAAGAAAAUCGCCUGAAAACGUCCGUUCAAGUCCUCAGUGAAGAACCACCAAAGGGCGCUCCUAUAGAAAUAACAGCUAACGGUACCCAAUGAACCAAUACCCGGGCAUUCCCUUCUGGACAGUUGGCGAGCUAAUUAGACAAUAACGGACACAGUAUUUAUGACUGGUUUGAGCCAUUCUCCCCGUUGCUAUUCUCGUUGGCACAAGUUCUUUUGCAUCGCGCCCCGAAGCUAAAACCACUCCUAACCUUGGUAGUCAAUAUCUGUCCGAGCUAGAUUUUCUUCCGAUCGACUUCAUGGGGAAUUUUGUGUUUUUUCUCUCCCGCAGGCUUGUCCUUUUUUCCUCUCUGCCCCCGGCGCCGCAGUCUUUUCACUGAGAACUAGCCACUAUCCAUCGCAUUAGAGGUGGAGUGAGACACAGAAAAGCCAAGAGAGAAUCUACGACUCCCUCGGGAAUCCUAUAAAUGUGCUGGCGCCAGAGAAUCUGGAUUCAAUUACCAAGUAAACCUCGAGAACCAUUAAGCGCCGUUCGAACGUGUAAUUACGCGUAACCGUGAAAUUCGUCUCAAUGAAGUUGGUGAGGGGAUAGCCGAAGAAAAGCAGCAACCACCCUAAGAAUUAUUAGCCAGUUCCGUGGCCACGCAUCCUGGAUUACCGGGUCAGCGUAAGUUCCCCGAAGUAAUCAUUGUACUGAGCAGACACGGGUACCAGGUAGUCUCUCGCCUGCGGCGAGACAGAAAAUAGAGUAAGAGAGGAUGAAUACCAUAAGUGGAUCUUCACCAAUGAUGGAGAGAGACACGGCAGUGAUACGUAGGACGCCCAGUUGAAUGCCGUGUAACACUGGGACUCGAGACAGUUAUGGGGCAAUCAUCGAUGACUUUGAGAUAAUUGAGUGAUUGAAAUGGUGAGUGGAAUUGAUAUACACGCAUGAGGUAACACUAUUCAAUUCAAUAUCUACGUACCCAUCAAUAUUGACAAGCUAAUCAUUGAGCGAUUAAUACACAACGAAUUGUUACAACGAUACCCACUAUUCCGGUUAUCGAGAUUGCACUUGAAAACAACGAUUCCCCCGUUCCUCUUGUUCGUGUUUUCCAGCUUCCCCUCUCGAUUAUCGUUCAUUGGCUGCCACUGGUGCUACGCAAUCGAGAGGUAUCUCGUGAACGGAAUAGGAAAUUCAUGCAAAAAGCAUUCGAAUGUUUCAAUUACCCAGCUAGCCAAUGAUGAGUUGCGAUCAAACUCGAGUAUUUCAAUGGGUGAAUAAUUUAACUGUGAAAAAGUAGAUAGAGAAAGGCGCAAAUCGAUAAUUGACUCCAAAUUGCUUUUAGGCUUAUCUACUGCUGGGUGCACUGGGGAUGAAACUCUAUAAAAAAUGGCCGUUAAUUUAAUGCUGGGAGAAAAGUUUUAGUGUUUAACAAAUCGUAAAUUUACGAUUAUCACUGGACAGGCGAUGGUUAUGGAGAUGAGAAUUGGAAUCGAACAGUGCGGAAAAAGUCGAUUGAACUCUAUAGAAGCAUUAUCCGCUUGCGCACUUCGGAAAUUUUAAGCAUACGACGGUUCUUCGGAAAUUUUAAGGAAUUUUAUUGUUGGGAAUUGGCAACUGGACAAAGACAAUCGGCACAAGUUGAAUUCCAAUGCUAUUGUUCUAUGAAAACUGAUAACAAUCUGAGAAAUGUUUAAUUAAUUUGAAGUCCCAUGGGAUUUAGUACUUAAUGUCCAUUUGUUGAUUGAACAUUCAGAUAAAGUGGGAAAUUCUCAUCUGUCUGAUGUUAAAAAAUUUGAAUUCCAUUGAAUCAAUUUUUGAACCCUCUUCCGGUUUCAUAAUAUUUUUUCUCAAUAAAGCCAUAAAAAUGAAACAGUAUAAAAAGUGCAUUGAUAUCCUGAAAGAUUAUUCCAAUAGAAGAAGGGAAGCAUAAAACAUUGUACUAUAACUGGGCAUUGGAAUCGCUCCUCAGUAAAAAUAUCGAUCGAACCAAGUUCUCGGCUUUCCCUCCCCAUAAUAUGUGAUCGCCAACAAUUCAGUAAUACUCUCCAUUUACUCGCUUUGCAGCUGUUAACCCGCACCUUAACACCAGUAUCCACACACUUGGUAACCUUCCGCGAAGGCACCAUCAUUUCGUUACGGCAUGCGCACUGACGUAUGCGGAAUGUUAAUUUAUUAAGUGCCACGAUCCAUAGUAGCCCCGUUGGAUGUGCGAGCUCAGACAUUCAGCGUCUUCCUCUCUCCAAAGCAAUGAAGUACCGGUACUGAGGGGGAAUAUACACCAAGGGCUUCCUCAAUGCCUUCUAUUCGUAUUUCUCUUGUUAAGUAUCUGUUUAAACUCGUCUGUUGGUUAAUGGCUACUCCCCUGGAUCUCGGCAAAAUCGUGUAAGCUCGGGGUUUGGUAUACGCUGGACUACCAGGGCAACUGUGUCCGUUCUUCCAACCACCAACGCUGAAAACUCACCGACCCGUGAAUACACGCUCCAUCGAAUGUCCUGUUAUAACUCGAUGAACUUACGCCUCGGGAGGAAAAAACAACGGGGUAUGGUUCAUAAUCUGUAAUUAUUGCAACAGUGUGCGCUAUGAGGAGCACUCUUUGGCAAUCAAGACGGGAGGAAGAAGUGGGUACAAAAAGCCUGAGGGGGAGAAGAGUGGGCACUCUGCUGAGAUGAUAGGGUUUUGCCAGUGCAACCGGCAGACAUCAUCUUAUUAGUUGAUUCAUUCAUUUCAGUGAUUCUCUGCUUUCUUGGGUUGGUUCCUGUAAUGCGCUUUGAGAUACUUCAGACUUGUGGAAAAUCUCAACUACAAGUUCUCAAGUGCGCGGGUUUGAUAGGAGGUCACGCGGAAAGAAAAAUUGAAUAAAAAUUGCGAAAAAUAAGUGAUCAGUCCUUUUCUUACAUAUAUGGGUUAAAUAUAUGGUAAAAAGGCGUUAAGGUGUCAUUAUGGCAACAGUGCGUUACGUGAGCGAUCUUGGCAGCCAAAGCGGUAAAAAAAAAUCGGACUAAAGAAACCGAGGAGAUGAGCGGAAAUUCUACUGAGAUGAUGGGGUUUUACUUGCAAUUGGCAGACAUCAUCCCAGCUGACUCAUUCAUUUAAUUGAGCCCCUCCUUCCCCGGAGUCAUCUCAAUAACGCUCUUUGAGAUAUUCAAGUCUCUCGGAAAACAUCAAAUUUAAGUUCAGUAACAUACGGGCCGGCCCCAGAAUUUUUGCGAUAUGAAGACGCGAUAAGCUGUAAUUAUUGCAACACUGCAAAAGCACUCUUUGGCAAUCAACGCGGAAGGAAAAAGUGGGUACAAAAAGCCGAGGGGUAAAGUGGGUAUUCUGGGGAGAUGAUGGAGUUUUGCUCGUGCAAACGGUAGACAUCAUCUUCUUAGUCGGUUCAUUCAUUUUCGUGAUUCCCUUCUUCCUCGGGCUUGUCUCGAUAAUGCUCUUUAAGAUACUUGAGACUUGCGUCUUUAGAAGUACAGACUCACCUAUACUGCUACUGAAUCACACCUACGGAGAAGUAUAUCAGAAGGAAUCCGCUUACCUAAAACAGAAAGAUGUACUUGUGAAAUAAAGAUAUCACUGCAAAGCUCAAGAGGUGGAGUAAUUGAGGCAUUAUAAACGAUCUUUUGAGGCAGACAGUUAUUAGACUAGGGUAUAAUACUCUCAUUAAUUUGCAUAGCCCAGCCAGUUUAACAGUACAUUUAUUACGCUGGGCACUGGGCGGUUCGUCGCAGGACUAUUUAAAAAUGUGCUGUCUUCCUUAAUUUCGCAGAUAUUUCCCCUGCAAUUUUGUAGCUCAAUUUAAAAAUUUUCUAAAAUCGAGAAAAAUACAGCUGUGCUUUGGAAGAUCUAUUUCUCCAGUUGACCCACCAUUUUUGUCCAGUCUAGAAUUAGCAGAAGAAAUUUUUUCUGUAUUCAAUUUUGAAUGGUGAGAGUAUUAGAAUUGAAAGAUUGAUGACUAGGGAGGAGGUUGUUGUAGCUUUAAAAUCACCUCCUGAAGAAAUAAUGGAUAGAAAAAAAUAACUACUGAAUA